ACUUGCUCUAUCUGCGGGGUUGAGGAUGAGAGUACUUUCCACGCUCUUGUUUCUUGCACAAAGGCUCGUGCACUUCGUUUGGCGUUGAGGAAAGUGUGGAAUUUGCCAGGGGAAGAGGCUUUUAAUUAUACUGGGCCUGACUAGUUACUUAUUUUAUUAGACCAGCUAAGUUGUUCGCAAAGGGAGCACAUCUUGUUUCUUUUCUGGCGAGUUUGGCACUUAAGGAAUGAUUUGAUUUUUGGGAAAGGAAAAGAAACU
Molecule: ribosomal RNA, 258 nt
Filed under: Triticum aestivum (bread wheat)
Lineage: Eukaryota; Viridiplantae; Streptophyta; Magnoliopsida; Poales; Poaceae
Description: partial small subunit ribosomal RNA
Source: RNAcentral